AACAGAGCUGUGUGUGUUAUGUGAGUUUCAUACAGUAUGUAGGGCAGAACUCUGAGCUCUGUGGCAUGGAUAGAAAAGUAAUUCAAUUACUGUGGAAUUAAAAUCAACUGCAUUACACUGGAAAAAAAACAGGUGACACUGAGAGCAGGAAGGAGGGUUUGGCACCUUGCAAGGCUGGGACACACACAACCCAUGGCUUACCACUCUCCUUGUUGCUGGGACUGUUCAGAGAGGCCCGAGUACAGGACAGUCAGCGUAGCCCAAGCACUGGGCACAUUCUACCAGACAGUUAAAAGUUGUAGACCUGACUGUGCGAAUUUCUGAGUGGUGGAACUCUGUUGUCUGUGCUAAAUUCAAGAGAGGACAAGAAGAAUGGCAGAAGAGGAAUAUGGCUUCAGAAAAGAUUGAAACUCAUCCUGUUCCUGGCUGAAUAAGGAUCUAAAUUCCUGAAAACUACAAUUCCAGAGCACAAUACAGGAAAUAUUUGACGAAAAUAUAUAAAUGGUGAUAUGCAGAAGUUCGAGGUCCACACAGAGCUUCGGUGAUGAUAUUAAAUAAUAAAUCAGUACUAGUUACUCCA
RNAcentral lists this long non-coding RNA (580 nucleotides) under Anser brachyrhynchus (Pink-footed goose). RNAcentral's name for it is "lncRNA (ENSABRG00000000004.1)". The record is from RNAcentral. Lineage: Eukaryota; Metazoa; Chordata; Aves; Anseriformes; Anatidae.